CGAGUAGCCUUAUCAUUGACGUUCUUCUCCACUGCGAAGAACCGAUACACCACCCUCAGAAUUUGAUCUACGUCCGUUUCCCACCCAUUGAUUAUCGCGCAGAGAAUCCCUUGGCAGAUAGAGCCAUCGAAAAUUCUGCCCGGACGCGUUCUCGCGGUUCCUGGAGAUUGGAGCGCAAACUCCGCGUUCCUGCCUUCAACGUUUAGUCACCCGCGGACAGGCGUCGCGGUGUCACGUGUUCUUGGCCCCAACAACCGUGUUUUGGAUCGGUGGCGCGCGUAAAAGCCACCGCUUUUAGUAACUGUCGCCCCAGACAGAGAAAAAGACACUCGAAUGACGAAUGCCGUAUAGAUCGUGAUCUUUGAAUUCUCGCGGGGCGAUCGAGCCUCGUGCACGAUCGUUCGCGUUUACUUUCCCUUUCCACGCGCUCUCGCUCCCCAUUGGACAGCUCGCUCGUGAUCGCCACGUGGUCGUGUCGCGAUCGAUGAGUGGUGCAUAUCCUGCAACCGGCUGAGAAAGAACCCACCACGCAUCGGCGAGAGAGAAAGAUAAGGAGAGGAUCAUUCGGAACUGGGUGCUGCUAGGAAACGUCCUGCCAGCUAGAUUUCAGAGGACGGCUACCGUAGGCAGCGCAGAGGGUCUCCACGUCAAAGAUCGGAUUCACAAAGUUCUAACAUACGCAAACUAUAAUAGCCCAUCUCCAUCGCUCGCCAGAAAA
This is a long non-coding RNA of Hylaeus anthracinus, 718 nucleotides long. RefSeq lists it as uncharacterized. The transcript is spliced from 3 exons. NCBI's taxonomy places the organism in Eukaryota, Metazoa, Arthropoda, Insecta, Hymenoptera, Colletidae. The record is from RefSeq and is a predicted model, not a curated record.